UACGAAGGGUGCAAACGUUGCUCGGAAUCAUUGGGCGUAAAGCGCACGUAGGCGGCUUCGCAAGUCGGAUGUGAAAUCCCAUGGCGCAACCAUGGACGUGCAUUCGAAACUGCGAAGCUUGAGUAUGGAAGAGGGUCGCGGAAUUCCCGGCGUAGAGGUGAAAUUCGUAGAUAUCGGGAGGAACACCAGUGGCGAAGGCGACUACCUGGCCUGUUCUUGACGCUGAGGCGCGAAAGCUAGGGGAGCAAACGGG
RNAcentral lists this ribosomal RNA (253 nucleotides) under uncultured bacterium. RNAcentral's name for it is "partial 16S ribosomal RNA". It matches the Rfam family "Bacterial small subunit ribosomal RNA", at positions 524 to 776 of the family's 1533-position model. The record is from RNAcentral.